Long non-coding RNA from Oncorhynchus tshawytscha (Chinook salmon), 1592 nucleotides. Lineage: Eukaryota; Metazoa; Chordata; Actinopteri; Salmoniformes; Salmonidae. The record is from Ensembl.
CUUGUAUGUACCUGGUCCUGACCUGACCUGUAUGUACCUGGUCCUAACCUGACCUGUAUGUACCUGGUCCUGACCUGUAUGUACCUGGUCCUGACCUGUAUAUACCUGGUCCUGACCUGUAUGUACCUGGUCCUGACUUGUAUGUACCUGGUCCUGACCUGUAUGUACCUGGUCCUGACCUGUAUGUACCUGGUCCUAACUUGACCUGUAUGUACCUGGUCCUGACCUGUAUGUACCUGGUCCUGACCUAUAUGUACCUGGUCCUGACCUGUAUGUACCUGGUCCUGACCUGUAUGUACCUGGUCCUAACCUGUAUGUACCUGGUCCUGACCUGUAUGUACCUGGUCCUGACCUGUAUGUACCUGGUCCUGACCUGUAUGUACCUGGUCCUGACCUGUAUGUACCUGGUCCUAACCUGUAUGUACCUGGUCCUAACCUGACCUGUAUGUACCUGGUCCUGACCUGUAUGUACCUGGUCCUGGCCUAACCUUGUGUGUGGUUUGCUCUCUCAUGAUUUGGUAAUACAGGACAUUUCCACGACAAAUGACCAGGAAGUGGCUAGUUUAAUGACCAGGUAGUGGCUAGUUUAAUGACCAGGUGGGGGCUAGUUUAAUGACCAGGUGGUGGCUAGUUUAAUGACCAGGUAGUGGCUAGUUUAAUGACCAGGUAGUGGCUAGUUUAAUGACCAGGUAGUGGCUAGUUUAAUGACCAGGUAGUGGCUAGUUUAAUGACCAGGUAGUGGCUAGUUUAAUGACCAGGUAGUGGCUAGUUUAAUGACCAGGUGGUGGCUAGUUUAAUGACCAAGUAGUGGCUAGUUUAAUGACCAGAUAGUGGCUCGUUUAAUGACCAGGUGGUGGCUAGUUUAAUGACCAGGUAGUGGCUAGUUUAAUGACCAGGUAGUGGCUAGUUUAAUGACCAGGUGGGGGCUAGUUUAAUGACCAGGUAGUGGCUAGUUUAAUGACCAGGUGGUGGCUAGUUUAAUGACCAGGUAGUCGCUAGUUUAAUGACCAGGUAGUGGCUAGUUUAAUGACCAGGUGGGGGCUAGUUUAAUGACCAGGUGGGGGCUAGUUUAAUGACCAGGUAGUGGCUAGUUUAAUGACCAGGUAGUGGCUAGUUUAAUGACCAGGUGGGGGCUAGUUUAAUGACCAGGUAGUGGCUAGUUUAAUGACCAGGUAGUGGCUAGUUUAAUGACCAGGUAGUGGCUAGUUUAAUGACCAGGUAGUGGCUAGUUUAAUGACCAGGUGGGGGCUAGUUUAAUGACCAGGUAGUGGCUAGUUUAAUGACCAGGUGGUGGCUAGUAUAACAGCAGGUGAGUUUCCCUUAUGACCCUCUACGAUAGACAUUCAGUAGUUCAGCUAGGGAGGUUGUGUCACAAAUGGUACCCUAUAUAGUGAACUACCUUUGACAAGAGCCCAUAGGUAGUGCACUACGUAGGGAAUAGGGUGCCAUUUGGGACCCCAAGAGAUGUCCACAGGACACAGUGGAGAGCCAGUGCAGAACCAGUACCUGAUUAUAGAUAUUGAUUUCGGAUAUACAGGCUAUAAUGUGUGUAUAAACAUGAAUAAAUUGCUUACGAAACAUGUAUAAACUGC